GCAACUUCAAGAGAUGCUUAUUUGACUGUGAUGUCAAGGAUGAGUUAUUGGCAGCACGGAAAGAAAUGUUGGAAAAGUAUGACCUAGAAGAUAAUCAAUGGCUAGCAGAAUAAAGGAGAAAUGGGCACUGCCAUAUGGUCGUGAGGCAUUUUAUGCAGAUAUGAAAAGCGUCCAGCAGAAGGAAAGCUUGACUAGUCACCUAAGAAAACAUUUAUCCUUAGAGUAUGACCUUGUGAACUUCUUUGAACAGUUUGAAAGACUAUUAUGUGACCGUCGAUCUGCAGAGCUGGAAGCUGAUGUGAAUGCUAAUCAGAGCACAAAGAAGCCACCUUCCAUGCGAAUAUUACGGCAAGCUGCCAAUGUUUAUACGCCUGCUGCCUUUAAAAUGUUUGAGAGGGAAUUUGAGUUAUACAUAGAUUGCAUGCUAUACAAAUGUUGUGAGAUGGGCACAAUUUCUGAGUAUAGGAUAAAUGCUGAGGACAAGCCAAAAGAUCACUUUGUUAAAUUUGAUUCACUCAAUUCCAUGGUGAAUUGUAGUUGUAAGUCGUUUGAGUUUAUAUGUUGAAGGUACUCGACACAAGGAAUAUCAAGGACCUCCCUGCUCAGUACAUCUUGAAAAGGUGGACGAAGGACGCCAAAUCAGGAUCUUCAAAUGGUGAUUAUGCUUUCUCAUUUGAUGGUGAUUCUGAGUCUGCUCAGAUGAAACGUUACACUCCAUUGUGUCGCAUAUUCAGUAUCGCAGCAGCUAGGGCUACAACCUCUGCAGAAUCAUUUACAUAUAUGGAAAACCAGUCAAGCAUACUGAUGGAUCAAGUAGAGCAAGUUAUUCAAACCAGCCCCCCUGACAUAGCUGCUCUUAUUGGUGCUUAUUGUGAUCGAACUCAAAAUUCAGUUGACAAUAUUGCCACCGGAGGCAUACACAGUCAUGCUAAUUUUAUUAAUGGCUCUGCUGAUGGUUCUCUAACUUUUCCGUUCACAUUGAGUGCUGGUACAUUGGAUUACCGCUAACAGGCGUCGAGUGACAUACCUGGAUUUUGUACUAAUUUGUUGGUGAUUACACAUUAAUUUCGGAGCCGCAAAAAACUGUUGGCGAAGUACGCACAGGUCCAUGGCAGGCCUGAUAUUGUUUCUGCCAUAGCCAUUCGCCCGAAGAAAGUUGGCAUUCUUUCCCCUUCGCGAGCAUUACUUGUAUAUACUAGCUAGGAAAAAUCUUUCAUGAUAUGGAAUAAGCAGCCAGCUGCGUUGGUCGUGGCCUCGUUUAACAGCCUCGUGGUUGCACAACUUGUUCCCGUAAUUUCAGGGUCUUCCUAUGUUGCCAGUUUGGUAAGGUGAUGAUUCCUGCUGAGAGCUGCCGAUAACUUACCAAUAAUUCUGGUUCCUGCCAGUUGGGACUUAAACUAGUCUGAGCUGUUGCAUUUUUCACCCGUGUUGUACAUGCUGCUUCAGUAGCUUAUUUGUCACAUACUCACAUUUGUAUAAUGUAUAUAAUGUAUGGAGUGAAUGGUUGCAGCAUCAGAACAUCAGUAAUUUCACAUUUGCUAGUGACUAGUAGUUACGAGAUUUUUGACCAAUUUGGAGCCUGCCAUGGCAUCGGUAAAUGCCAAAGCUUGGCAAUUCAUAUU
Long non-coding RNA from Phragmites australis (common reed), 1622 nucleotides. RefSeq lists it as uncharacterized. The record is from RefSeq and is a predicted model, not a curated record. The transcript has 4 exons. NCBI's taxonomy places the organism in Eukaryota, Viridiplantae, Streptophyta, Magnoliopsida, Poales, Poaceae.